AUGAAUUUCUUUCUCAAAUCAUAAGGGAAGACCAUUGGCAGGGUGCACAUCCUGGACCUUGAGGGCCUGGCCCACAGGUCGGGAGUGGUCCUGAGCAGCCACAGGCCAGGUCUUCUUACUAGUGAAUCAGGGACUGAGGGACACGGCAGGGGGCCCAGUAGUUAACGUGUUGGACUUUUACCAACAUUUUGUUGAGCCUCCUGAGCUCACCCUUUAUUUUCUCCCGGCUGCUGGGGGCUCGCACUGUGAGCCAUGGUUAGAGCCAGGGCCGGCCUCCCGGGGCCUCCAGCUCAGGCUUCUGCCAGGGCCCCACCUGACACCACAGUCCGUGAGGCACACGGCCCCGCUUUUGUCCCUGGGCUCCCUGGCCCUGCUGCCUCUGCUUCUAGGCCUCAGUGUGAUCGCCCCACCUUGGCAUGGGAUUUUGCAGCCCCAUUUCUCACUGUGCUUCUCUGCCCCAGGCCCUGGGGACCUAAUACCAAAGGGAGUGGCCCCACCCAGAGGCAGCCUUGACCGCAUUCCAGGAGAUGCCUCCGCUGACCCAGCCACCAAGCCCCGGCCAUCAGAGCUGGGCUCCGGGGCCUGUUCAUCCUCAGCCAUCACUACAGCUCCUUCCAGCUCCAGCUCCACCUCCCGGCACCCAGGCCGCACCCACGAGAUGACAGCAUCUGAGGACAGCAGAAGAGCUGGAAAUGACGGCCCCGGAGGUGUUAGAAACUGACGAGAGAAGAAGCGGUUAUGAUUUUUCAUCAUCUUACCUCCCACUGGACCCUGGAAGCUAUGACAAGCAUAACCGUGGUUUGACAAGCCCAGCAAAGACAGACAGGCCCCCUGCCCUCUAGGCUGCCUGGCUCAGCUUCAGGACCUGGCCCCUGGUUUACAAAUCAGAAGUACCCCUGGGAGGAGGUGAGGGUCCCGGCCAGGCAGCUUAGAGAGCCGUAGGCAUGCGUCCAGUGACGGCUCACCUCGGGGCCUGAAGGGUAAGUCUGCUUUCCUUCUGG
Myotis brandtii (Brandt's bat) is the source of this 1001-nucleotide long non-coding RNA. RefSeq lists it as uncharacterized. The transcript is spliced from 3 exons. The record is from RefSeq and is a predicted model, not a curated record. NCBI's taxonomy places the organism in Eukaryota, Metazoa, Chordata, Mammalia, Chiroptera, Vespertilionidae.